ACCAAAGGGGACAGGGUCCGCGCUCCCAGGGGCCCGCGGGGGACAAGUGACCGGGGGUCCAGGGGACAGGGUCCGCCCUCCCAGGGGCCCGCGGGGGACAAGUGACCGGGGGUCCGAGGGGACAGUGACCGCGCUCCCGGCGGACCAAAGGGGACAGGGUCCGCGCUCCCAGGGGCCCGCGGGGGACAAGUGACCGGGGGUCCAGGGGACAGUGACCGCGCUCCCGACGGACCAAAGGGGACAGGGUCCGCCCUCCCAGGGGCCCGCGGGGGACAAGUGACCGGGGGUCCAGGGGACAGUGACCGCGCUCCCGACGGACCAAAGGGGACAGGGUCCGCCCUCCCAGGGGCCCGCGGGGGACAAGUGACCGGGGGUCCAGGGGACAGGGUCCGCGCUCCCGGCGGACCAAAGGGGACAGGGUCCGCGCUCCCAGGGGCCCGCGGGGGACAAGUGACCGGGGGUCCAGGGGACAGGGUCCGCCCUCCCAGGGGCCCGCGGGGGACAAGUGACCGGGGGUCCGAGGGGACAGUGACCGCGCUCCCGGCGGACCAAAGGGGACAGGGUCCGCGCUCCCAGGGGCCCGAGGGAGCAGGGGGAGACAGUGUCCGCCCUCCCGGGGGACGGAGCGGACGGUGUCCGCGCUCCAGGGCCAUCCAGGGUCUGGCAGGGACGCACUUUCUCUGGCCAAGAGCCUGUGGGUGCCCGUCACCUGGGGUUGUACGUAAUGCGGUCUGAGGACCCCGGGGGCGGGGCCUGAAGUUCUGCCUGGCGGGCACAGGGGGUGAGGGUCCCGCCGGCGGGGGACCUCCGUUGAGAUUAGGGUCUCGGGAUGCUCUCCGCAGCCUCAGCCUGGAGGCGCCUGCAGAUCGCUGCUCGUCGCUCAGGGUGUCCAGAAUCCUGCGCCUCAGGAAGUGGCUCGGGACACGAAAACGAGCGCAGGGCAUGCGCUACCGGGGGCAGGUGACAAAGAAACUUUUGAGCAUAUUCCAAGCGGUUUGGAUACUCGGAUAUGGCAGCAUGCGACUCACUGGUGACAGUUGUUCGCUCAAAACUGGUUGAGUGCAGGGAGUGGACCGCACUCUCCUCCUUUACCACCAGUGUGCCUGGGGAUGCUUUGCUUUUAACGUUAAAAAGUUUUCCCUCCCUGUUCCUGUGGGCCACAGCAGAAUACAACAGAGGAUUUGGAAAGAUCCACUAAUUCAGACUAAUGAGCAUCAUCAGUAAAGCAAAUACGGGAACUUAACGUGCCGCCCUGGUGGAGCGUUAUUUGGUAUUGGCCCAUCUCCUUUGCAGUUUGGGUCUCUCGGCUGUGUCAUCAGCUCUCCUGAGGAGACUACCAGCCACCAUCCGCGUGACAGGAUUCCACCCACGGCUCCUUGUCCUCCCGGUUGGAUCUGCCAGCACCUGAAACAAAGCUGCACUUACAAUUCUCAGAUGCCUUUCUCCAGGGUUACUUUCUUUCUUUCCUGCCCAAUCUGCGGUGGAGACAUGGCCAAGGUUGUCCAAGGUUGCUUCAGGUCUGACUUAGAGCUCCAGGGUAAACUGAGGGCUAAUAAUGUCAUGCCGCAUCCCUGGAUAGAAAAUCAGCCUCGAGGGCUUUACUUCUUAGGUGAUGGUAGGAAGAAGAAAGAGAAAGGGGAAACAACAUUUCUGUAGCAUUUAUACAGAGCUUGAUCCAUGGCAUUCGAGUUAACCUAACGUUGAUAUGAGGAGAAACACACGCUUUCCUUUUGCACAAUUAUGAAAUAUUCACCAAUAUUCACAAACUGCUCUGUGAGUCUUCAAACAUUCUUCCGGCUGAACUGUUUUCCUCAUUUUCAGAGCAAGUCUUGAAUGCCGUUCUCAGAAGGAAGAAAGGAACAAAUUUUAAAAACACUGUUAUGUUAGUAGAGUUUAACCCAAGAAAGAAAACAAGAAGUAAUUGAUUUAAGGGGAAACUCCGUGUAUACAGACCUUGAAAGAAGGCGGGACCGAUCUCCGUGAAACGGAGAAAAUCACUCAUACCCUAUAUAUCGAUGUAAGACACUGCAGUUAAUGUGGGGAGAGAGACACAAAGUAACCCUGAUCUUUGCUUUGAGUGAUCCAAGUAGCUGGGGAAAUGUUCUGGUCAUAACCAUCCACACAUUGGGUAGAGAAACAAAAAGCACGGUAGAAUGUGGAGAACGGAGAUACGAAGUCAGACAGUAGGAGUGCAGAUUGAAGAAUAAGUAGAUAUCAAUUUAUUUCUUUAAAUAAAAGCUUAGAUAAUGUAUGGUGAUUAACAUAACAAUAAAAAAUUUUUAAAAAAAUAAAAGCUUAGAAAUAUUGUAUUCGAAUUUGGAAUUUUAAAGAGACUAUUACAUUUCUUAUUUGGCUUUGAUUUUGAUAUUUGAAUAUAGUUUGAAUUUCAUUUCCAUAAUUUUUGUAUUAAGAUCUCCUUAUUAAAUAUU
This is a long non-coding RNA of Mirounga angustirostris (Northern elephant seal), 2429 nucleotides long. RefSeq lists it as uncharacterized. Lineage: Eukaryota; Metazoa; Chordata; Mammalia; Carnivora; Phocidae. The transcript has 4 exons. The record is from RefSeq and is a predicted model, not a curated record.